CUACUGCGGGGCAUGCAGCGACGGGAAAACGAAGGGUCCUGGGGUUAAUCGGAAUUACUGGGCGGAAAACGGUCGCAGGGGGGUUGUUAAGCGAGAUGUGAAAGGCCUUGGAUUAAACUAGGAAUAGCAUUUCGAACUGGCGAACUAGAGUCUUGUAGAGGGGGGUAGAAUUCCAGGUGUAGCGGUGAAAUGCGUAGAGAUCUGGAGGAAUACCGGUGGCGAAGGCGGCCCCCUGGACAAAGACUGACGCUCAUGCACGAAAGCGUGGGGAGCAAACAGGAUUAGAUACCCGAGUAGUC
RNAcentral lists this ribosomal RNA (299 nucleotides) under uncultured archaeon. RNAcentral describes it as "partial 16S ribosomal RNA". It matches the Rfam family "Bacterial small subunit ribosomal RNA", at positions 498 to 795 of the family's 1533-position model. The record is from RNAcentral.